This is a long non-coding RNA of Leguminivora glycinivorella, 300 nucleotides long. RefSeq lists it as uncharacterized. The record is from RefSeq and is a predicted model, not a curated record. The transcript has 2 exons. Lineage: Eukaryota; Metazoa; Arthropoda; Insecta; Lepidoptera; Tortricidae.
UAAACGUACGCAGUAGCCCGAUCUCCGACAGCGGGGAAAGGGAGCGAAGCGUAUGUUGGCAAAAUUAGGUGGCGCUUGUGUCGCCGUUUAGGAGCCACGUGCCACUCCGGCGCAAAAUCAGUACUCGGUGCGACAGGUCGCCGAACGUCUGAGAUGCAAUAAUUUCGUUCCAUAUUUGUUCUCGGGAAAAGUGUGUUGUAGUUGAAUGGAUAAUUACCUGGAAAAAAGAGGAGAGGUGAAGUUUGACCCUAAGCCUAGACCAUCAGGAACCAACAAAAAAUGCAAUACAACUAUUAAAAA